Molecule: ribosomal RNA, 431 nt
Filed under: uncultured bacterium
Lineage: Bacteria
Description: partial 16S ribosomal RNA
Rfam family: Bacterial small subunit ribosomal RNA
Source: RNAcentral
AACGAACGCUGGCGGCAGGCUAAACACAUGCAAGUCGAACGCCCCGCAAGGGGAGUGGCCGACGGGUGAGUAACGCGUGGGAACAUACCCUUUUCUACGGAAUAGCUCCGGGAAACUGGAAUUAAUACCGUAUACGCCCUACGGGGGAAAGAUUUAUCGGGGAAGGAUUGGCCCGCGUUGGAUUAGCUAGUUGGUGGGGUAAAGGCCUACCAAGGCGACGAUCCAUAGCUGGUCUGAGAGGAUGAUCAGCCACAUUGGGACUGAGACACGGCCCAAACUCCUACGGGAGGCAGCAGUGGGGUAUAUUGGACAAUGGGCGCAAGCCUGAUCCAGCCAUGCCGCGUGAGUGAUGAAGGCCUUAGGGUUGUAAAGCUCUUUCACCGAUGAAGAUAAUGACGGUAGUCGGAGAAGAAGCCCCGGCUAACUUCGUG